CUACGGGCGGCUGCAGUGAGGAAUAUUGCACAAUGGGGGGAACCCUGAUGCAGCAACGCCGCGUGGAGGAUGACGCAUUUCGGUGUGUAAACUCCUUUUAUAUGUCAAGAAAAUGACGGUAGCAUAUGAAUAAGCAUCGGCUAACUCCGUGCCAGCAGGCCGCGGUAAUACGGAGGGUGCAAGCGUUACUCGGAAUCACUGGGCGUAAAGGACGCGUAGGCGGGUUGGAAAGUCAGGUGUGAAAUCCUACAGCUUAACUGUAGAACUGCACUUGAAACUUCUAAUCUAGAGUAUGGGAGGGGGAGAUGGAAUUAGUGGUGUAGGGGUAAAAUCCGUAGAUAUCACUAGGAAUACCUAAAGCGAAGGCGAUCUCCUGGAACAUUACUGACGCUAAGGCGUGAAAGCGUGGGGAGCAAACAGGAUUAGAUACCCUGGUAGUC
RNAcentral lists this ribosomal RNA (440 nucleotides) under uncultured bacterium. RNAcentral describes it as "partial 16S ribosomal RNA". It matches the Rfam family "Bacterial small subunit ribosomal RNA", at positions 339 to 795 of the family's 1533-position model. The record is from RNAcentral.